Molecule: ribosomal RNA, 466 nt
Filed under: uncultured Klebsiella sp.
Lineage: Bacteria; Pseudomonadati; Pseudomonadota; Gammaproteobacteria; Enterobacterales; Enterobacteriaceae
Description: bacterial SSU rRNA
Rfam family: Bacterial small subunit ribosomal RNA
Source: RNAcentral
CCUACGGGAGGCAGCAGUGGGGAAUAUUGCACAAUGGGCGCAAGCCUGAUGCAGCCAUGCCGCGUGUGUGAAGAAGGCCUUCGGGUUGUAAAGCACUUUCAGCGGGGAGGAAGGCGUUAAGGUUAAUAACCUUGGCGAUUGACGUUACCCGCAGAAGAAGCACCGGCUAACUCCGUGCCAGCAGCCGCGGUAAUACGGAGGGUGCAAGCGUUAAUCGGAAUUACUGGGCGUAAAGCGCACGCAGGGCGGUCUGUCAAGUCGGAUGUGAAAUCCCCGGGCUCAACCCGGGAACUGCAUUCGAAACUGGGAGGGUAGAGGCUUGGUGGGGGGGGUAGAAUUCCAGGUGUAGCGGUGAAAUGCGUAGAGAUCUGGAGGAAUACCGGUGGCGAAGGCGGCCCCCUGGACAAAGACUGACGCUCAGGUGCGAAAGCGUGGGGAGCAAACAGGAUUAGAUACCCGUGUAGUC